RNAcentral lists this ribosomal RNA (468 nucleotides) under uncultured bacterium. RNAcentral describes it as "partial 16S ribosomal RNA". It matches the Rfam family "Bacterial small subunit ribosomal RNA", at positions 28 to 507 of the family's 1533-position model. The record is from RNAcentral.
GACGAACGCUGGCGGCGUGCUUAACACAUGCAAGUCGAACGGAAAGGCCCUGCUUUUGUGGGGUGCUCGAGUGGCGAACGGGUGAGUAACACGUGAGUAACCUGCCCUUGACUUUGGGAUAACUUCAGGAAACUGGGGCUAAUACCGGAUAGGAGCUCCUGCUGCAUGGUGGGCGUUGGAAAGUUUCGGCGGUUGGGGAUGGACUCGCGGCUUAUCAGCUUGUUGGUGGGGUAGUGGCUUACCAAGGCUUUGACGGGUAGCCGGCCUGGGAGGGUGACCGGCCACAUUGGGACUGAGGUACGGCCCAGACUCCUACGGGAGGCAGCAGUGGGGAAUAUUGCACAAUGGGCGGAAGCCUGAUGCAGCAACGCCGCGUGCGGGAUGACGGCCUUCGGGUUGUAAACCGCUUUCGCCUGUGACGAAGCGUGAGUGACGGUAAUGGGUAAAGAAGCACCGGCUAACUACGUG